GUGGGGAAUAUUGGACAAUGGGCGAAAGCCUGAUCCAGCCAUGCCGCGUGUGUGAAGAAGGUCUUCGGAUUGUAAAGCACUUUAAGUUGGGAGGAAGGGCAGUAAGUUAAUACCUUGCUGUUUUGACGUUACCGACAGAAUAAGCACCGGCUAACUUCGUGCCAGCAGCCGCGGUAAUACGAAGGGUGCAAGCGUUAAUCGGAAUUACUGGGCGUAAAGCGCGCGUAGGUGGUUCAGCAAGUUGGAGGUGAAAUCCCCGGGCUCAACCUGGGAACUGCCUCCAAAACUACUGAGCUAGAGUACGGUAGAGGGUAGUUGAAUUUCCUGUGUAGCGGUGAAAUGCGUAGAUAUAGGAAGGAACACCAGUGGCGAAGGCGACUACCUGGACUGAUACUGACACUGAGGUGCGAAAGCGUGGGGAGCAAACAGGAUUAGAAACCCUUGUAGUCC
Molecule: ribosomal RNA, 450 nt
Filed under: uncultured bacterium
Lineage: Bacteria
Description: bacterial SSU rRNA
Rfam family: Bacterial small subunit ribosomal RNA
Source: RNAcentral